ACGGCUCACCAAGGCCGUGAUGCAUAGCCGACCUGAGAGGGUGAUCGGCCACAUUGGGACUGAGACACGGCCCAAACUCCUACGGGAGGCAGCAGUAGGGAAUCUUCCGCAAUGGACGCAAGUCUGACGGAGCAACGCCGCGUGAGUGAAGAAGGUCUUCGGAUCGUAAAGCUCUGUUGUUAGAGAAGAACAGCGCAUAGAGUAACUGCUAUGCGUGUGACGGUAUCUAACCAGAAAGCCACGGCUAACUACGUGCCAGCAGCCGCGGUAAUACGUAGGUGGCAAGCGUUGUCCGGAAUUAUUGGGCGUAAAGCGCGCGCAGGUGGUUUAAUAAGUCUGAUGUGAAAGCCCACGGCUCAACCGUGGAGGGUCAUUGGAAACUGUUAAACU
Molecule: ribosomal RNA, 390 nt
Filed under: Streptococcus pneumoniae
Lineage: Bacteria; Bacillati; Bacillota; Bacilli; Lactobacillales; Streptococcaceae
Description: bacterial SSU rRNA
Rfam family: Bacterial small subunit ribosomal RNA
Source: RNAcentral